GAUGAACGCUAGCGGCAGGCUUAAUACAUGCAAGUCAAGGGGCCAGCAAUGGCACCGGCGGACGGGUGAGUAACGCGUACACAACGUACCUUUAACUGGGGGAUAGCAUCUGGAAACGGGUGGUAAUACCGCAUGUGGUUGCGGGGAGGCAUCUCCUUGUAACUAAAACUUUGGUGGUUAGAGAUCGGUGUGCGUCUGAUUAGCUAGUUGGUAGGGUAGAGGCCUACCAAGGCGACGAUCAGUAGGGGGCGUGAGAGCGUGAACCCCCCACACGGGUACUGAGACACGGACCCGACUCCUACGGGAGGCAGCAGUAAGGAAUAUUGGUCAAUGGAGGGAACUCUGAACCAGCCAUGCCGCGUGAAGGAAGAAGGCGCUACGCGUUGUAAACUUCUUUUGGGUGGGACGAAAAUAAUCCAUUUAUGGAUAGCUGACGGUACCAUCAGAAUAAGCACCGGCUAACUCCGUGCCAGCAGCCGCGGU
RNAcentral lists this ribosomal RNA (483 nucleotides) under uncultured bacterium. Its description in RNAcentral is "bacterial SSU rRNA". It matches the Rfam family "Bacterial small subunit ribosomal RNA", at positions 28 to 521 of the family's 1533-position model. The record is from RNAcentral.